GAGGGUGUAGCUCAGUAGUAGAGCGAUUGCUUACAAUAUAUAAGGUCCUAGGUUCAAUCCCUAGCCCUCC
Molecule: transfer RNA, 70 nt
Filed under: Heterocephalus glaber (naked mole-rat)
Lineage: Eukaryota; Metazoa; Chordata; Mammalia; Rodentia; Bathyergidae
Rfam family: tRNA
About the family: Transfer RNA (tRNA) molecules are approximately 80 nucleotides in length. Their secondary structure includes four short double-helical elements and three loops (D, anti-codon, and T loops).
Source: Rfam by way of RNAcentral